GGAUGCAAUCAUAUCAGCACUCACGCACCAGAUUCUAUAAUUUAAAUGUGCUUGGGCGAGUAUAGUACUAGGAUGGAUAACCUUUGUAGAGUUCCCGUGUUUCGUCCC
This is a ribosomal RNA of Nicotiana attenuata, 108 nucleotides long. NCBI's taxonomy places the organism in Eukaryota, Viridiplantae, Streptophyta, Magnoliopsida, Solanales, Solanaceae. The record is from Rfam.